UACGGGAGGCAGCAGUGGGGAAUAUUGCACAAUGGGCGCAAGCCUGAUGCAGCCAUGCCGCGUGUAUGAAGAAGGCCUUCGGGUUGUAAAGUACUUUCAGCGGGGAGGAAGGCGAUGCGGUUAAUAACCGCGUCGAUUGACGUUACCCGCAGAAGAAGCACCGGCUAACUCCGUGCCAGCAGCCGCGGUAAUACGGAGGGUGCAAGCGUUAAUCGGAAUUACUGGGCGUAAAGCGCACGCAGGCGGUCUGUUAAGUCAGAUGUGAAAUCCCCGGGCUUAACCUGGGAACUGCAUUUUGAAACUGGCAGGCUUGAGUCUUGUAGAGGGGGUAGAAUUCCAGGUGUAGCGGUGAAAUGCGUAGAGAUCUGGAGGAAUACCGGUGGCGAAGGCGGCCCCUGGGACAAGACUGACGCUCAGGUGCGAAAGCGUGGGGAGCGAAACAGGGAUUAGAUACC
This 455-nucleotide ribosomal RNA is filed under the name uncultured bacterium. RNAcentral's name for it is "bacterial SSU rRNA". It matches the Rfam family "Bacterial small subunit ribosomal RNA", at positions 340 to 786 of the family's 1533-position model. The record is from RNAcentral.